Molecule: non-coding RNA, 21 nt
Filed under: Caenorhabditis elegans
Lineage: Eukaryota; Metazoa; Nematoda; Chromadorea; Rhabditida; Rhabditidae
Source: RNAcentral
UACCAAAAAACUAAAUUUCAA